GGGGCCAGGGAUCAAAUCCAAGCCACAGGUGCAAGCUAUGCCCCAAAUGCGGCAGUGCUGGAUCCUUUAACCCACCACACCAGGCUGGGGAUUGAACCCAUACUGCCACAGAGGGAACUCCCAGGACUCCACAUUUUUAAUGUAUAUUUUGUGAAACAUGGACUUGAAGCUUGGAAGGUCUACUAUGCUAACUGAUCACUACGCACAAUUCCAGCUCUUCCCCUAUCUCUGGAGAAUGGAGAGUAGGGCUGAGAACUCCAAGUUUCUAAUCAUGGCUUGGUCUUUCUCAUGACUAGCCCCCAUCUAAGAGCCCACCAAAGGUCACUUAGUUGGAACAAAAGACACUGCUAUCACCCAGGAAAUUCCAAGGGGUUUAGGAACUCUGUGUCAGAACUGGGGUCAAAGACCAAUUAUUAGAACAAAAGACACUUCUAGGCUAUUAUCACUUAGGAAAUCACAAAGGUUUCAGGAGCUCUGCCAGGAACCAAGGGCAGGUAUCUAUAUAUCUAUCUAUAUAGAUAGAUAGGUAUAUAGAUAUAUAUAUUUCUAUCAUCUCACAAUGAAUAAAUAUAAUUUUUAAAAUGAUAAUUAACAGUGAUAAAUUAUAAAAAUCAAAAGAACAUAUAUACAUUAUUUUAAAAUUAGCAAUAAAAUUACUCUAUCAGUAAUUUAGUACUGAAUACCACCAACAUAAAAGAAAUAUAUUGAAUGGAGUUCCCACUCCAGGGAGGAAGGAAACCAAUCUGACUAGGAACCAUGAGAUUGAGGGUUGGAUCCCUGGCCUUGAUCAGUGGGUUAAGGAUCUGGCGUUGCCAUGGGCUGUGGUGUAGGUCUCAGAUACAGCUUGGAUCCUGCAUUUCUGUGGCUGUGGUGUAGGUGAGCAGCUGUAGCUGAUUUGACCCCUGGCCUGGGAACCUCCAUAUGCCACAGGUACAGCCCUAGAAAAAGCAAAAAAAAAAAAAAAAGAGUUCCCGUCAUGGUGCAGCAGAAACUAAUCCAACUAGGAACCAUGAGGUUGCGGGUUCCAUCCCUGGUCUUGCUCAGUAGGUUAAGGAUCCGGCAUUGCCUUGACCUCUGGUGUAGGUCGCAGACUCGGCUUGAAUCUGGCGUUGCUGUGGCUCCGGUGUAGACUGGCAGCUAUAGCUCUGAUUAGACCCCUAGCCUGGGAACCUCCAUAUGCUGCGGGUGUGGCCCUAAAAAGAAAAAAAAAGAAAAAAAAAUAUAUACAUAGAGAGAGAGAGCGAGAGAGAAUGGUACGACAUUUGGCAGACAUAUAAGGAAAUUUUUAUUCUAGUUUAAAAAAAAAACAAAACCCUGAAAAAACACCCAAGAAUUAGGUGGACUGAAUUCUAGUCCUGAUUCCACCAACCACCCAAAGCUGAGUGAGUUACCUAAUUUCUCUAUUUCUGUAUCCUCAACUUGUAGAUGGGGAAAAUAACAUCUGGUGUCCUUGACCUCACAGGGUAAUUUUGAAACUCUCAUAAAGGAUAGAAGUAUGCUCUAAAAAAUCAUCCAACAGGGAUUUCCCAUUGUGGCUCAGUGGGAACGAACCCAAUUAGUAUACAUGAGGAUUCUGGUUGGCUCCCUGGCCUUGAGAAAGUGAUGAAGCUUCUCUGGGCCAAGAGCUUUCCAGGCAGAGGGAAGUGCUAGUUAACACUCUGAGGUGGGAGUCAGUGGGAGCUGUGGGGCCAGAGCCAUGUGAGUUUGGGAAGGAGUAAUGGAACGGUCAGGUCCCUUGUAGACCUCAGUAAAAACCUACACCUUUACUGUGAGGAAGGGAUUUUUUUUUCAGAUUUUGAGUAACUAGAGGAAUAACACAGUCUGAUUUAUCCUGGCUGCUGUAUUGAGAAUAAUCUAUAGGGGAUCCAGGGAGACCAAUUAGGAGGCUAUUGCAGACAUGACUCAUGUGAUGGUGAAGAAGCAUGAUGGUGGAUUAGAUCACAUAGCAGGAAUGGAAAUGGUGAGAAGUGGUCAGAUUCUGGAUAGUGCCCUAAGACUCCCUGAGGGAUUACAGGUGGGUUUUCAGAAAAAGGAUUACAAAAUGACUCCUAGGCUUUCGGUUUCCAAAUGAAGAUGCUUAUUCUCCAGGAGGAAUAAAAGACAAUGCAAACUAUUUACAAGAAACACAGAAAGUGGAUAUGAGUUCAGUCUAGUCUUUAUGGAUUUGAGAGCUGUCUGUGCUGAAAUGAUUCAGGUAAGGGCCUGGGCUGAUAAGGAAGGACCAAAAACUGGAGCCAGGAUUUGGGCAGAGCUGAUAAGCAGUGUGAGUAGAACAGAAAGCCAUCUAUAGGUCAAGGCCAGAAGUUAAAAGAUACUUAGAUAAAGGGAUGCAAUACUGAAAGCAAAGUCAAGGUUAGGGUUCAGAGUUUUGCUCUAAUUUGGAAGGCAAAGGCAAUAAUUCAACUGGAACAAGAGCAAUGAUAAUUUAUAAAACACAAGGCAAUCUGCUAAAAGUCUUUGAGUAAGGAGUUCCCUUGUGGCACAGUAGAUUAAGGAUCCAGUGUCACUGCAGGAGCUUGGGUUGCUGCUGUGGCACAGGUUAGUCACCAGCCUGGGAACUUCUAUGCCACAGGCACAGCCUAAAAAAAAAAAAAAAAAAGGCUUUGAGUACAGAAUCUCAUUUAAUUUGUUCAAUAACCCCAUGAAUUAAGUGAAUACCCUACACAUGGCUGGUGGCAGACACAGUUUUAACCUUACCUUGGAUCUUGAAGCAUGUUGUGCUUAAAGACUACACAAUACUGCAAGUUUUAAUGUCUCAGUAGGCAGUGAAGUCAUCUCAGAGGUUCAAGUUAAGUGGGUGUGGGAGUGGUAAGCACAAGUGGAAGCAGAGUCCACGUACACAGACAAAAUUGGAUCUAAGCUUGUGGUUUAAGCUGGGCGUGAAGGAACAGGCUUGGGCUGGGGUCUGAAUCAGGAGCCCAGGAUUUGGCAAAGCACCACACUCAACCUAAUACAACAGCCCUGAGAGCUAAGCAAGGCACUAGAGAUGGCAGACAGUUAUAAUGAAAGAUAAGUACUUUGCUUAGCUAGAUUUGCAACAUGGCCACUGUGUUAUACCAAGGCAUCAAGUAUAAGUGCAAAUCCAAUGGAAUUUGCUUGCUAGAUCUCUGCAUCAGAACUAAGUGCUGCAACAUGGAUAAACAAACACACAUCUUUUCCGUAAGAAACUUGUUACAGAUCAAGCAUUGGAAGAACUCAAAAAGAGCCUUCUCUUUACCUGGCUUAUUUAAGGAGCUUGCCCCAGGCAAGAAAAGAGCUGGGUGAGUUCACAAUGCUCUUUCAAAGGUAAACUUUGGGCUUCCAAUACUUUUGUUUCUUUUCCUCCACCAAAUGGCAAAGAUGCACUGAACACAAAAUUUCAUUCUCAAUCUGCUUAAAAGGCAGAUUAGGAGUUCCUGUUGUGGUGCAGCAGAAACAAAUCCGAUUAGGAACCAUGAGGUUGAGGGUUCGAUCCCUGGCCUCACUCAGUGGGUUAAGGAUCAUGUGUUGCCGUGAUCUGUUGUAUAGGUUGCAGUCUCAGCUGGAAUCCAGCAUUGCUGUGGCUGUGGCUGGCAGCUGUAGCUCGAAUUAGACCCCUAGCCUGGGAAACUCUAUAUGCCCUAAAAAGCAAAAAAAGCAAAAAAAAAAAAAAAAAAAAAA
Molecule: long non-coding RNA, 3639 nt
Filed under: Sus scrofa (pig)
Lineage: Eukaryota; Metazoa; Chordata; Mammalia; Artiodactyla; Suidae
Description: lncRNA (ENSSSCG00030068117.1)
Source: RNAcentral